Molecule: long non-coding RNA, 1860 nt
Organism: Acipenser ruthenus (sterlet)
Lineage: Eukaryota; Metazoa; Chordata; Actinopteri; Acipenseriformes; Acipenseridae
Exons: 3
Source: RefSeq, a predicted model, not a curated record
GGCUCCAAACAACUUAUUAAGCAGAAACAAUUUAUGGGAAAACAAAAGUUUUAUCAUCUUUCCCAAGGCCACAGCUGCACUCUGAGUUAUGAAAAGCCAGUUGCUCCCUACAUGGGUGUAUGUCAUUCCACAUGCUAAGCUAAAGAGCUACAAGAUCAGGGAAAUCCUUACAAUAGGCUACUUAAAACAAUAACCCUAUUUAACUGGGUAAUCAGCCUUCUCAUUUCCAGCCGGCGGCCAGCUAAAUUGCUGUCUACUUUUCCGGAUGAGUUUUUACAGUGCUAUGUUCCAUUUUUUUAUUUUCUUCCAGUAAAAUAGUGGCAAUUUCCACAAUUCAUUAUGUAUGUAAGUCGAGUAAAACAUUUGUUCUCUGAGGGCAUUUCGUUUCUGGGCUUAUGUUUCCAUGGACACCAUGAAUCGCGAUGGACCAAUCUAUUUCGAGCUUACAAGCGAUGUUGGUGAUGAAGUCUGAACGAUAAAGCGGUUAUCAAAUCAAUCAUCGAUUUACACUUUUUUACCCCCAAGAAAACACAGGACAGUGGAGUUCCACUAUAAUGCUGAAUGUUGCCCUGGUGAUGUGAAAGGACUCUAACCACUGCAGAUCUGUGAAAGAGUGAUGCAGCACAACCUAUCCCCACCAGCAAGAUGGGCGAUUGAAACUUUGAAUGCAGACUGUAACCUUUUAACACCUGUCUAUACCAGUAAAUGAAGGGGAUCUGCUCUUGUGUGCAGUGCAAUAUUUGGAGGACCAUGUCCAAUCACCACUCACGCCGAAAUGAUUUCCAAAGACAUUUUUUUAAUUAAAAUGUAAUUGAUUCUUAAAGACUGCAUAAUUAUUGAUGAACAUACUCUGAAAGGGAGCACAGUCCAGAUGGUAACCUUUGUAAUACAAUGGAAAAAAUAUAUGAGCUUCUGUAGAGCAGUUGGAAAUGUACUUUAAUACCGCUAAUAGCAUUAUCUAUAAUUUAGUUCUGUUGUGAAGAAAAAUAUUUCAAACUCAUGCUGCAAAUGGCAAUGUCUUCAUGGAAACCCGUUCAUACAACAUACCUAAAUCAAUCCUUUUUAAAACUUAUUUACUAGCUUAGAUGCUAGCUGUAGCUUACAACUGUACAUCCAUGGGACACGGUAAACCCAAUAUUCUCUUUAAAACCAUUUAAAUCCUGCAUCCAGCCGCUGAUAAAUCCAUCUUCCGUUCAUCCUCCUCUCUCACCUCUUUCUUUCAGAACAAAAUUGACACCAUCUAUUCUACGCUCUCCUGCCCCACACCCAGUAUAGUACUCGACCACCUUGACUCCCCUCCGUUUGCCCCUCCUGCUCUCUCCUUCUCUCCUCUCUCCAUUACUGAUAUCUCCAGCAUAUUGCUGAAAUCAACUACUGCCACGUGCCCCUUGGACCCCUGGCCGACAAAUCUUGUCCGUUUCUGUGCCUCUGAUCUUGCUCCGUCCAUUAUGCUCACUUUCAACCUAUCCCUGGUCUCAGGCUUGGUUCCUGCUGCCCUCAAGAUUGCCUGAGUAACAGCGGUGCUCAAAAAACCCUCCCUCGACUGUAAUUUCCGUCCUAUAUCCAAUCUUCCUUUUCUCUCCAAAACUCUUGAAAGGGUUGUAGCCAGCCAGCUGAUGAAACAUCUCACAGAUAACAAUCUGCUUGAAUCUCUGCAGUCUGGCUUCUGGUCUCAUCACAGUUCUGAAACUGCUCUGCUCUGGAUUGUAAAUGAUCUCCUGCUCAAUGCUGAUGCUGGUGCUCCCGCUGUCCUUGUCCUCCUUGACCUAACUACUGCUUUUGACACCAUAGAGCAUAGCAUUCUUCUUGACCCCCUUCAGAAGUAUACUGGGAUCUCUGGAACCUGUCUCUUCUGGCUGU